CAGUAGCCGCGGGAAUACGUAGGCGGCAAGCGUUGUCCGGAAUUAUUGGGCGUAAAGGGCUCGCAGGCGGUUUCUUAAGUCUGAUGUGAAAGCCCCCGGCUCAACCGGGGAGGGUCAUUGGAAACUGGGAAACUUGAGUGCAGAAGAGGAGAGUGGAAUUCCACGUGUAGCGGUGAAAUGCGUAGAGAUGUGGAGGAACACCAGUGGCGAAGGCGACUCUCUGGUCUGUAACUGACGCUGAGGAGCGAAAGCGUGGGGAGCGAACAGGAUUAGAUACCCCGGUAGUCCCUGUCUCUUAUAC
RNAcentral lists this ribosomal RNA (301 nucleotides) under uncultured bacterium. RNAcentral's name for it is "partial 16S ribosomal RNA". It matches the Rfam family "Bacterial small subunit ribosomal RNA", at positions 509 to 807 of the family's 1533-position model. The record is from RNAcentral.